Molecule: unclassified non-coding RNA, 374 nt
Filed under: uncultured bacterium
Lineage: Bacteria
Description: contains 16S-23S intergenic spacer region
Source: RNAcentral
UCCCAUUCGACACGGGCAGUCCGACUAGAGUGCUCAACUGAAUGUAGCAACUAAUGACAAGGGUUGCGCUCGUUGCGGGACUUAACCCAACAUCUCACGACACGAGCUGACGACAGCCAUGCAGCACCUGUGUUCAGGUUCCCUUUCGGGCACCGCUGCAUUUCUGCAGCGUUCCUGACAUGUCAAGGGUAGGUAAGGUUUUUCGCGUUGCAUCGAAUUAAACCGCAUGCUCCACCGCUUGUGCGGACCCCCGCCAAUUCCUUUGAGUUUCAAUCCUGCGAUCGUACUUCCCAGGUGGGAUACUUAAUGCUUUCGCUCAGACACACACAGUGUAUCGCGUAUGUCGAGUAUCCAUCGUUUAGGGCGUGGACUAC